AACGUAGGGGCCAAGCGUUAUCCGGAAUUACUGGGCGUAAAGAGCGUGUAGGCGGUUAGAUAAGUUGGAUGUGAAAGCUCCCGGCUCAACUGGGAGAGGCCAUUCAAAACUGUUUGACUAGAGAUAGAUAGAGGCAAGUGGAAUUUCCGGUGUAGCGGUGAAAUGCGUAGAUAUCGGAAGGAACACCAGAGGCGAAGGCGGCUUGCUGGGUCUGAUCUGACGCUGAGACGCGAAAGCUAGGGGAGAGAACGGG
RNAcentral lists this ribosomal RNA (253 nucleotides) under uncultured bacterium. Its description in RNAcentral is "partial 16S ribosomal RNA". It matches the Rfam family "Bacterial small subunit ribosomal RNA", at positions 524 to 776 of the family's 1533-position model. The record is from RNAcentral.